RNAcentral lists this ribosomal RNA (508 nucleotides) under uncultured bacterium. RNAcentral's name for it is "partial 16S ribosomal RNA". It matches the Rfam family "Bacterial small subunit ribosomal RNA", at positions 30 to 523 of the family's 1533-position model. The record is from RNAcentral.
AUUGAACGCUGGCGGCAUGCCUUACACAUGCAAGUCGAACGGCAGCGGGGGAGAAGCUUGCUUUUCCUGCCGGCGAGUGGCGAACGGGUGAGUAAUACAUCGGAACGUGCCCUGUAGUGGGGGAUAACUAGUCGAAAGAUUAGCUAAUACCGCAUACGACCUGAGGGUGAAAGUGGGGGACCGCAAGGCCUCAUGCUAUAGGAGCGGCCGAUGUCUGAUUAGCUAGUUGGUGGGGUAAAGGCCUACCAAGGCGACGAUCAGUUGCUGGUCUGAGAGGACGAUCAGCCACACUGGGACUGGUACACGGCCCAGACUCCUGCGGGAGGCAUCAGUGGGGAAUUUUGGACAAUGGGCGAAAGCCUGAUCCAGCAAUGCCGCGUGUGUGAAGAAGGCCUUCGGGUUGUAAAGCACUUUUGUCCGGAAAGAAAUGGCUCUGGUUAAUACCUGGGGUCGUUGACGGUACCGGAAGAAUAAGGACCGGCUAACUACGUGCCAGCCGCCGCAGUAA